Molecule: ribosomal RNA, 254 nt
Filed under: uncultured bacterium
Lineage: Bacteria
Description: partial 16S ribosomal RNA
Rfam family: Bacterial small subunit ribosomal RNA
Source: RNAcentral
UACGGAGGGAGCUAGCGUUGUUCGGAAUUACUGGGCGUAAAGCGCGCGUAGGCGGCGCGACGCGACCGGUGUGAAAGCCCCCGGCUCAACUGGGGAGGGUCAUCGGUAACGGUCGUGCUGUGAGUGCAGGAGAGGGAUGUGGAACUCCGGGAGUAGCGGUGAAAUGCGUAGAGACCCGGAGGAACACCAGUGGCGAAGGCGGCUUCCUGGCCUGUAACUGACGCUGAGACGCGAAAGCGUGGGGAGCGAACCGG